CACCGGCGGCUCGAGUGGUGGCCACUUUUAUUGGGUCUAAAGCGUCCGUAGCCGGCUUGGCAAGUCCCCUGGGAAAUCUGGCGGCUUAACCGUCAGGCGUCCAGAGGAUACUGCCAGGCUUGGGACCGGGAGAGGUGAGAGGUACCUCAGGGGUAGGGGUGAAAUCUUGUGAUCCCUGAGGGACCACCAGUGGCGAAGGUGUCUCACUAGAACGGGUCCGACGGUCAGGGACGAAAGCUGGGGGCACGAACCGG
This 254-nucleotide ribosomal RNA is filed under the name uncultured microorganism. Its description in RNAcentral is "partial 16S ribosomal RNA". It matches the Rfam family "Archaeal small subunit ribosomal RNA", at positions 474 to 727 of the family's 1478-position model. The record is from RNAcentral.